UAGGGAAUAUUAGUAAUGGGCGAAAGCCUGCACUAGCAACACCGCGUGUGCGAAGAAGGCCUUCGGGUUGUAAAGCCCUUUUUGAGAGGAUGAGGAAGGACGGUACUCUCAGAAUAAGUCUCGGCUAACUACGUGCCAGCAGCCGCGGUAACACGUAGGAGGCAAACGUUAUCCGGCUUUACUGGGCGUAAAGCGCGUGUAGGUGGUUUGGUAAGUAGAGCGUGAAAGCUCCUGGCUCAACUGGGAGAGGUCGUUCUAAACUGCCGGACUAGAGGAUGGUAGAGGGAGGUGGAAUUCCGGGUGUAGCGGUGGAAUGCGCAGAUAUCCGGAGGAACACCAGUGGCGAAAGCGGCCUCCUGGACCACUCCUGACACUCAGACGCGAAAGCUAGGGUAGCAAACG
RNAcentral lists this ribosomal RNA (402 nucleotides) under uncultured prokaryote. RNAcentral describes it as "bacterial SSU rRNA". It matches the Rfam family "Bacterial small subunit ribosomal RNA", at positions 355 to 774 of the family's 1533-position model. The record is from RNAcentral.